Molecule: ribosomal RNA, 253 nt
Filed under: uncultured bacterium
Lineage: Bacteria
Description: partial 16S ribosomal RNA
Rfam family: Bacterial small subunit ribosomal RNA
Source: RNAcentral
UACGUAGGGUGCAAGCGUUGUCCGGAAUUAUUGGGCGUAAAGAGCUCGUAGGCGGUUCGUCGCGUCGGCUGUGAAAUCCCGGAGCUCAACUCCGGGUCUGCAGUCGAUACGGGCGGACUUGAGGGCCACAGAGGGACAUGGAACUCCAGGUGUAGUGGUGAAAUGCGUAGAUAUCUGGAAGAACACCAAAGGCGAAGGCAGUGUCCUGGGUGGUCGCUGACGCUGAGAGGCGAAAGCCAGGGGAGCGAACGGG